GAUGAACGCUGGCGGCGUGCCUAAUACAUGCAAGUCGAGCGAACAGACGAGGAGCUUACUCCUCUGACGUUAGCGGCGGACGGGUGAGUAACACGUGGAUAACCUACCUAUAAGACUGGGAUAACUUCGGGAAACCGGAGCUAAUACCGGAUAACAUGUUGAACCGCAUGGUUCAACAGUGAAAGACGGUCUUGCUGUCACUUAUAGGUGGAUCCGCGUCGCAUUAGCUAGUUGGUAAGGUAACGGCUUACCAAGGCAACGAUGCGUAGCCGACCUGAGAGGGUGAUCGGCCACACUGGAACUGAGACACGGUCCAGACUCCUACGGGAGGCAGCAGUAGGGAAUCUUCCGCAAUGGGCGAAAGCCUGACGGAGCAACGCCGCGUGAGUGAAGAAGGUCUUCGGAUCGUAAAACUCUGUUAUUAGGGAAGAACAAAUGUGUAAGUAACUAUGCACGUCUUGACGGUACCUAAUCAGAAAGCCACGGCUAACUACGUG
Molecule: ribosomal RNA, 497 nt
Filed under: uncultured bacterium
Lineage: Bacteria
Description: partial 16S ribosomal RNA
Rfam family: Bacterial small subunit ribosomal RNA
Source: RNAcentral